AGGAAUCUGCCUGGUAGUGGGGGACAACGUUUCGAAAGGAACGCUAAUACCGCAUACGUCCUACGGGAGAAAGCAGGGGACCUUCGGGCCUUGCGCUAUCAGAUGAGCCUAGGUCGGAUUAGCUAGUUGGUGAGGUAACGGCUCACCAAGGCGACGAUCCGUAACUGGUCUGAGAGGAUGAUCAGUCACACUGGAACUGAGACACGGUCCAGACUCCUACGGGAGGCAGCAGUGGGGAAUAUUGGACAAUGGGCGAAAGCCUGAUCCAGCCAUGCCGCGUGUGUGAAGAAGGUCUUCGGAUUGUAAAGCACUUUAAGUUGGGAGGAAGGGCAGUAAGUUAAUACCUUGCUGUUUUGACGUUACCGACAGAAUAAGCACCGGCUAACUUCGUGCCAGCAGCCGCGGUAAUACGAAGGGUGCAAGCGUUAAUCGGAAUUACUGGGCGUAAAGCGCGCGUAGGUGGUUCAGCAAGUUGGAUGUGAAAGCCCCGGGCUCAACCUGGGAACUGCAUCCAAACUACUGAGCUAGAGUACGGUAGAGGGUGGUGGAAUUUCCUGUGUAGCGGUGAAAUGCGUAGAU
This 579-nucleotide ribosomal RNA is filed under the name Pseudomonas sp. Its description in RNAcentral is "bacterial SSU rRNA". It matches the Rfam family "Bacterial small subunit ribosomal RNA", at positions 119 to 695 of the family's 1533-position model. The record is from RNAcentral. Lineage: Bacteria; Pseudomonadati; Pseudomonadota; Gammaproteobacteria; Pseudomonadales; Pseudomonadaceae.